UAAUAGUUUUAUUCUUGUUUAUUUAUUUAUUUUUAUAUUAAUUUAUAUGUUAAUUUUUGUAAAUGUUUUAUUUCUUAAUGGAUUAAAAUUUACUUAUUUGCAGUAAAUAAUAUUAUAUAUUUAGGUUACUUUGAUUUAGUUAUUUUUAUUAAUUAUUGAAUAAAUAUGUGCCAGCAUUCGCGGUUAUACAUUAAAUGUUAAUAAAUAUUUUUAGUUAAUGUGGUUAAAUUAUUAUGAAAUUUUUUGUUGAUGUAUUAGUAGGUAAAAUUAUUAAUUUUUGUUAUUUUGUUGAAUUGAGGCUUUUGAAGCUAUGAAAUUUAAAAUAUCUAAACUAGGAUUAGAUACCCUAUUAUUUUUUAUUUAAAUUUAUUUAACUUGGGUAUUACUAGAUUAUUGUCUUGAAACCUAAAGAAUUUGGCGGUGUUUUAAUUCUUUUUAGAGGAAUCUGUUCCUUAAUCGAUAAUCCUCGAUGUACCUUACUUUUUUUAAAAUUGGCUUAUAUACCGCCGUUGUUGAAUUUUUUUUUAGGAUAAUUAAUUUUCUUUAUUUAUAAUUUAUAAAAUAUUUCAGGUCAAGGUGUAGUUUAUAAUUAUAGUGGAAAUGGAUUACAAUAUUUUGUUGAUAUAUGAAUAAUUUUUGUAAAAUUUUUUUGAAAGUGGAUUUAAUAGUAAUUUUAUAAAUAUUAUUAAAUUGAAAGAAGCUCUGAAGCAUGUACAUAUCGCCCGUCACUCUCGUUAGUUUUAAAAGAUGAGAUAAGUCGUAACAAAGUAGGUGUACUGGAAAGUGUACCUAGAAUUAU
Molecule: non-coding RNA, 799 nt
Filed under: Balta curvirostris
Lineage: Eukaryota; Metazoa; Arthropoda; Insecta; Blattodea; Pseudophyllodromiidae
Source: RNAcentral